This 53-nucleotide transfer RNA is filed under the name Hoplocryptanthus tiradentesensis. RNAcentral describes it as "tRNA-Leu". Lineage: Eukaryota; Viridiplantae; Streptophyta; Magnoliopsida; Poales; Bromeliaceae. The record is from RNAcentral.
GUAAGAGGAAAAUCCGUCGACUUUAUAAAUCGUGAGGGUUCAAGUCCCUCUAU